RNAcentral lists this ribosomal RNA (484 nucleotides) under uncultured bacterium. RNAcentral's name for it is "partial 16S ribosomal RNA". It matches the Rfam family "Bacterial small subunit ribosomal RNA", at positions 30 to 507 of the family's 1533-position model. The record is from RNAcentral.
AUUGAACGCUGGCGGCAGGCCUAACACAUGCAAGUCGAGCGGAUGAAGGGAGCUUGCUCCUGGAUUCAGCGGCGGACGGGUGAGUAAUGCCUAGGAAUCUGCCUGGUAGUGGGGGAUAACGUCCGGAAACGGGCGCUAAUACCGCAUACGUCCUGAGGGAGAAAGUGGGGGAUCUUCGGGCCUCACGCUAUCAGAUGAGCCUAGGUCGGAUUAGCUAGUUGGUGGGGUAAAGGCCUACCAAGGCGACGAUCCGUAACUGGUCUGAGAGGAUGAUCAGUCACACUGGAACUGAGACACGGUCCAGACUCCUACGGGAGGCAGCCGUGGGGAAUAUUGGACGAACGGCGAAAGCCUGACCGAGACAUGCCGCCUGUGUGAAGAAGGUCUUCGGAUUUUAAAGCUCUUUAAGUUGCGAGGAAGGCCAGUAAGUUAAUCCCUUGCUGUUUUGACGUUACCUACAGAAUAAGCCCCGGCUAACUUCGUG